RNAcentral lists this ribosomal RNA (500 nucleotides) under uncultured bacterium. RNAcentral describes it as "bacterial SSU rRNA". It matches the Rfam family "Bacterial small subunit ribosomal RNA", at positions 29 to 508 of the family's 1533-position model. The record is from RNAcentral.
AACGAACGUUAGCGGCGCGCUUAACACAUGCAAGUCGAGCGAGAAAGGGCUUCGGCCCCGGUAAAGCGGCGCACGGGUGAGUAACACGUAGGUAAUCUGCCCCCAGGUGGUGGAUAACGUUCCGAAAGGAGCGCUAAUACAGCAUGAGACCACGCCUUCGAAAGGAGGUGAGGUCAAAGCCGGCCUCUUCAAGAAAGCUGGCGCCAGGGGAUGAGCCUGCGGCCCAUCAGCUAGUUGGUAGGGUAAUGGCCUACCAAGGCGAAGACGGGUAGCUGGUCUGAGAGGAUGAUCAGCCACACUGGAACUGAGACACGGUCCAGACUCCUACGGGAGGCAGCAGUGGGGAAUCUUGCGCAAUGGGCGAAAGCCUGACGCAGCGACGCCGCGUGAGUGAUGAAGGCCUUCGGGUUGUAAAGCUCUGUGGAGGGGGACGAAUAAGGGUUGGCUAACAUCCAGCUCGAUGACGGUACCCCUUUAGCAAGCACCGGCUAACUCUGUGC